AAAAUCAAUGCCCCCUGCUCAUAAGAACAAGGUUUUAAAGAAGAAAACCUUAAGCUCAUCCGUUGUCCUCGUGAUCUUUGAAGCUCCUAUAAUUUCUUUCCUGCCAAAUGCACCAACACAUACAUAUAGGGGCCAUCUUCCAUAUUGCUGCCAUUUGUGGAUUGCCUUGGAGUUCUCCCCAGCUUGCUAGAAAAUCCACCAGCCUGAGAGGCAUGACCCAUGAUAAUCCUAUUCCCACAAAAAACUAUCUCACAAGGUCAUGGCCAUCUCACAAUGUAGAAGCAGGAAAUCUACAGAUUCCCCAUCCUUCUACACAUGUAACACCAGUUCAACACCAUUACACGACGUUUCCUCAAAUUGUCUGUAGUAAGAAUCUUUAUACAAUAGGUAUAUUGAACUUGUCUUUCUUGCUUCUUAUAAAGUGCUUAUGCCUUAUGGUUUAUGAAGGGAUUAUGAAUAUCCAUUUAGACAUGCCAUAGAUUAUGUUAACAACCAUCUUGGAUCACAUCUUUAAUUCCUUCCAAGUAUUAGGAUAUGAAUCUCUUCCAUUUAAUAUUGGGUAGAUCAUGCUAUAUCUGGUCCAACUUGACUCAAGCAAUUGACCUCUUAGGGAUGAGCAUGUUCUUUUAUUUUUCGCCUUGGUCAACCUGCGUCUUGUCUUGACAAUUCUUUUAAAUCCUGGAUUUCUGUUUAAUACUUGAAUUAACAACCCCCC
Juglans microcarpa x Juglans regia is the source of this 715-nucleotide long non-coding RNA. RefSeq lists it as uncharacterized. The record is from RefSeq and is a predicted model, not a curated record. The transcript is spliced from 2 exons. NCBI's taxonomy places the organism in Eukaryota, Viridiplantae, Streptophyta, Magnoliopsida, Fagales, Juglandaceae.